UUUGGGGGUCCAAAUAUGGGGUUCCAAAAGAGUCACCUCUGCCGGAGAGGGUUUUUGGACCCCCAUGAAACCCCCACCAGUGGUACCAUACCCUUCAAAUUCAUUUUGGCAAGAGCAAGGUUCCCACAUAUAACAAAUAAUCCUGUUUAGAAUAAAUAUGAUCAUUAAUUGUGGUGCUACGGCCACCCAAAAAGUGAAAAAUCACACAUGCCGUCAACAUUUUUUUAGGACUUUGGUGACCCACCUCUCACCCAAACAGUAAGGAAUGUUGAUUCUGCCUCCAGAAUUGUGUAUAGGUUACAGGCUACAAUGAACUAACAAGCCAGUUUCCAG
Alosa sapidissima (American shad) is the source of this 333-nucleotide long non-coding RNA. RefSeq lists it as uncharacterized. NCBI's taxonomy places the organism in Eukaryota, Metazoa, Chordata, Actinopteri, Clupeiformes, Clupeidae. The transcript is spliced from 3 exons. The record is from RefSeq and is a predicted model, not a curated record.